Molecule: long non-coding RNA, 1499 nt
Filed under: Equus asinus (donkey)
Lineage: Eukaryota; Metazoa; Chordata; Mammalia; Perissodactyla; Equidae
Description: lncRNA (ENSEASG00005033818.1)
Source: RNAcentral
CGGAGACACAAGGGGCGGACUUCCGGGGAGCCACUUGUUUGAGAUGUUGCCGAGUGUCUAGUCCGAGAGGGGCCAUGUCAGGCCACGAAGCUGGAGCAAUCGGUGGAGGUCAGUGGGGCUUCUCAUUAACAACCAGGAUGUAAAGAAACUGAGGGAGAGAGAUCACACAAUGGGACUUAAUUUACCACCCCUUAAAAAGAUGGCGUAAUGGACCUAACUCCCUCUGUUAUCUCUGGAUGGUGCCGGGCAGCGGAAGCCUUGCACACUCCGACUCUGCUUGCGGGCGGGAAUUGCACUCCACGGGAAGCGUCAGCGAGGGAGUCCAUCUGCCCAACGAGGUCUUGGCAAAGACCUCCUGACAACCAUGGAUUCCGAAUCCCGCAGGGCCAGCUUCCUGGGUCUGGUCUUCUGAAGGGCAUGGCUGGUCAGAUGAAUGACGGCAGAGGCUCCCCUGGCUGGGGCAGCUGCAGUAUUGCUCCGAGUGGGACUUACCAAACAGCAAAAUGGGGAGAAAGGGUCCAGGAGCAGGUUUCGGCAACAGAGAGAAACAUGAGACUAAGGCUGGGUCUAUUUCCUCUUUCUGUCACUGUGAGCUUUCGUUGAAUAGUCACUGUGCGUCAGGCAUCGGGCUAGGCUUAGCACAUCUGCUCUUCAAUGCAGCCCCAGGAGUCAGGUGCUGUUUUACUGGUGAAGAAGACCAAGGCUCAGAGAGGUGAAGUAACACACCAAGGUCACACAGCUGCCUGCGCCUCGUGUUGCAAGACCACUGUUUAGACUUCUCAACCAAGGAGGCAAAAUCACCUUCUGGGAGGCAAGGGUCAACUGCUGGACGGGGUAAGGGGGACGGUCCCAGCUUGGGGAUGGUGAAAGGGCUGACCUGAAAGUUAGACCAAAGUAGCCAAAUGAGGAGCGGUGAAAGGACGGAACCGAUGGUGGGUGAGUUCAAAACUGAGGAUCGGUGCGUUUGGAAGCAGGAGCAGUGCCCCUUCCAUCCAGACCUUCGAGCUGAGGGCACUGCCUGGAGUGGCUCUGCGUCUGGCGCGUGUGCCAGGAAGCCUUCCUUCUUGUUUCCCACAGACGUGAGGAAGUACUGUGCACUGGUACUUACUGAGCGCUGUGGGGACACAGCUGUCGGCAAGAUUGGAUCUCUGCUCUCGAGCAGUCCACAGGGUCGGGAGAAGAGGGACAUGUACCCAGACAGAGAUGACGGAGACACGGCUGGGAGCAGGGAGGGCUUCUCGGAGGAAACGUCUCUGAGGUGGACCCGGAAGAUGGGCUGGGCUUGCAGCUGUUGGAUUGAGAGCAAAGGGUAGUGCAGGCUGAGGAAACAGCCUAGACACAAAGGUGCAGGGGAGAAACGGGAAGGAAGUGGCCAGGACGGGCACGGAGCCCGAUGUGGCGGGAGUCUGAGCAGCUGGGCUGGCGCAGGCGAGAGGAGCUGGGAAGGUCGUGCUGGCUAGGUUAUGACUGCUCCACCACGUCACUCCUCUGACCCUCAG